RNAcentral lists this long non-coding RNA (1311 nucleotides) under Homo sapiens (human). RNAcentral's name for it is "novel transcript". The record is from RNAcentral. Lineage: Eukaryota; Metazoa; Chordata; Mammalia; Primates; Hominidae.
GCUUCUCGCUGGAGUGCGCACCGAGCGGCAGUGACUUCGCCGCUGCUGUAGUUCCCCGGCUGGAUGCGGUGACUGGUGCCAGUGCUCAGGCGCCCGCUGCCCUUGACCUCCCGCCCCGCGAGCCCUAACUCAGCGCAGGAGGACCGGCUGCCGCCGCCGCCGCCGCCAGGAGGUAGAUUGGGAAGUGGAGCUGGCCGUGGUCAUUGGAAAGAAAGGCAAGCACAUCAAGGCCACAGAUGCCAUGGCCCACGUGGCCGGCUUCACUGUGGCUCAUGACGUGAGUGCUCGUGACUGGCUAACAAGAUGCAAUGGGAAACAGUGGCUGCUGGGAAAAACCUUCGACACCUUCUGCCCUCUGGGCCCUGCCUUGGUGACCAAGGACAGUGUAGCAGAUCCACACAACUUAAAGAUCUGCUGUCGAGUGAAUGGGGAAGUGGUCCAGAGCAGCAACACCAACCAGAUGGUAUUCAAGACAGAGGACCUGAUAGCCUGGGUGUCCCAGUUUGUUACCUUUUACCCAGGGGAUGUCAUCCUGACUGGGACCCCCCCACCUCCACCCAGGUGUCGGUGUAUUCAGGAAACCUCCUGUCUUUCUCAAGGUCUCUGAAGGUCCAGACAGCACUGAUGGCGAGCUUUGGGUCCGCACACUCUGGAAAGAAGAGAGAAGUGAAGGCUCUAGGUAGGGAGAACAGAGAGCCACUGGGCACAGGCUUCUCUCCUCUUGUUUAAAGAAGCCCAGGGAGGGAUAGAGCUCUGACUGGACAGAAGACUGUACUCUGCAGCCUGCCUUCCUAGAGUUGGGUUGUCACUGUCCUGCAGGGGGCAGCAGCCACCAGCAAACACCACUGCCUGCAGGAGCCUGGGCUGACUGGUUGGGACUCACCGAAGAUCCCUUCUUCCUGGGCGGUGGCCUGCAGGAACUGGAACAGCUGCUCUGUGUAGCCCAACUCUGCAGAAGAGAGAAGACCUAGACCUGGCACCCAGCACAGACACAGCCUGCCUCGAGGACUGCAAGGGAACAAGGGCCUCACCAGUAUCGGGCAGCUGGCCCUGGCGGAGGAAGGCGGCAGCCUGUGCAAAGGCCUUGAGCAGCGGGCUGAGCAGGCGGCAGAGGAAAAGAAAGAAAUCUGGGCAGUGUGACUGCUGGCUGAGCUGGAGGGGACAGGCCGGGGUGAGUGCAGCUCCCCACCGCCUCCCUACCACCUCCCUCCAGGGGCAGCUUUUUGAAACACACCCUGAAGUACCGGCCGUCAGCCUCUCCGAAGUCAUCACUGUCACUAUCAGUAAAGUCCCCACUCGGUUUCCACAGCA